Molecule: non-coding RNA, 174 nt
Organism: Sordaria macrospora k-hell
Lineage: Eukaryota; Fungi; Ascomycota; Sordariomycetes; Sordariales; Sordariaceae
Source: Rfam
GUGUGAUUGGCGCAGUGGUCAGCGUGUCCGCUCCCUAACUAGGGAUUGACAGCCCCUUUCAGUGCCGAAAACGGCACCGACUACCCUAAUGGGAGGAAAAGGCACUCAUAGAAAGUCGGGGGGAUCAAAUCUAGGGAACAGCGGAAGGCCUGGGUUCGAAUCCCAGAUCGCACA